This 254-nucleotide ribosomal RNA is filed under the name uncultured bacterium. RNAcentral describes it as "partial 16S ribosomal RNA". It matches the Rfam family "Bacterial small subunit ribosomal RNA", at positions 524 to 777 of the family's 1533-position model. The record is from RNAcentral.
UACGAAGGGGGCUAGCGUUGUUCGGAUUUACUGGGCGUAAAGCGCACGUAGGCGGAUCUUUAAGUCAGAGGUGAGAUCCCAAGGCUCAACCUUGGAACUGCCUUUGAUACUGGGGAUCUUGAGUCCGGGAGAGGUGAGUGGAACUGCGAGUGUAGAGGUGAAAUUCGUAGAUAUUCGCAAGAACACCAGUGGCGAAGGCGGCUCACUGGCCCGGUACUGACGCUGAGGUGCGAAAGCGUGGGGAGCAAACAGGG